GCCCUGGGGGCAAAAUGGCUAAGCAUUCGGCUGCUAACUGAAAGGUUGGUGGUUCAAACCUACCCGUGGCU
RNAcentral lists this transfer RNA (71 nucleotides) under Loxodonta africana (African savanna elephant). It matches the Rfam family "tRNA". From Rfam's summary of the family: Transfer RNA (tRNA) molecules are approximately 80 nucleotides in length. Lineage: Eukaryota; Metazoa; Chordata; Mammalia; Proboscidea; Elephantidae. The record is from Rfam by way of RNAcentral.